Long non-coding RNA from Ctenopharyngodon idella (grass carp), 2412 nucleotides. RefSeq lists it as uncharacterized. NCBI's taxonomy places the organism in Eukaryota, Metazoa, Chordata, Actinopteri, Cypriniformes, Xenocyprididae. The transcript is spliced from 2 exons. The record is from RefSeq and is a predicted model, not a curated record.
UUCUUUGCCAAAGCCAGGAAUGAGGGUCGAGGAGCCGCUUGGUCCUAAAGAGAGUAGGACACAGUUCGGUGGAAAAUGAUCGCAAUACAUGUGUUUAUUAUUUUGAUUUCUUUCAAAUAAAAUACACGAUUGGCAUAUCUAUUAAAACCGAUUUCCAUACUACAGAGGUCCACGGCUUUUCAAAAUCAAUAUUAUGCUAAUUAAGUUUAAAAUAAGUUUAAAAAAAAAUAAUAAUAAUAAUAGGCUACAUUUCCUCUUAACUGACUACUAAAUUAUAUUAAAUAUCUCCGUGACAAUGAUAUUUCUGUUAUGUUAUUUCACAUUUUUACUGCAUUGCAUACCUUUUUGUUACAUUUGUUCUAUAGACUGGCCGCAACGUGUAUGAUUUGGUCAGAUCCAUUAAUCCAUUUAUCCGCAUUAACGCCUCGUUAUAAAUCAUGAAACUGCAUAUCAUUUAUCAAGUCAAUAAUGGACUGACAAAUACAUUUAAAACAGAGACAGUCCACGAGGGAACAAGCAAUGUACGCGAGAGUCUAUUGAUGUAAGUUCGCACUGUAAUCAAGAUAUGUCAAAGAUAGGCUAUAUAUGCGAAACACUACUUUGUUAGCAGAGAAAAAAAAAAAUACUAAAUGAAUUAAUAGUCAACAAGAGUCAGAAUUUAUGCAAGCUAUAUUUCUGUGAAUAUUAAAUUUGCUUAAUAUGAUCUGAAUAUGAAUAGCCUACCUUAUAUAUUUACAUUAGGUUUAUUUUUAUAUAGGCUAAAAUCCAUUAAUUAUAGUCCAAAAGACAUAUUAGAUUGGCGUAAUACUUAGGCUAGGCUAUUAUUUUUAUGUCUUAUAUGUAAGUCGACUGACUUUACGUGUAUAGUUCCCAAAUCCAAAAAAGAUAGUUGAUGAUUAUUGCCAUUUAUACAGUUAUCUACACAAUUUACAGUACGGAAACUAGCACCAGUUGCCACAUAGCCUAUGCAGCUUUCGUUCUCGUCAUGACUAUACUAGCAAUAAAGUAGCCUAGUGAAUAUUAGUCGUAACUAAUCAUUGUAAUAGAAUGAUUUAGAUGUAUAUCGCAAGCCAAACGGCUCUCAAUACAAUAGGCUGUUAUUUAUGCAGAGAUGCAGCAUUCAAUGUGUUCUCAUACAACAAAAGAGAAUUUUAGGAUGUGCUUUUAGGGCCUUGACAUACUACAGAUAUCUUACUCAGUGAAGUUAUAAAACAUCCCACAGCUUCCUCAAAUUGAUUAUUGGGUUAAUAAAACACACACACAAAACAUUCAAAAAAUCAUGCAAAUAUAAAAUGAAAGGUGCUCAUUGAGAAAGCAGAAGCCCAGAAGUCUUAUGUUAAUUGCCAUAGAUGUUCGCUGGGAGCCUCGGGGUGGUCAAAUGAGGUGUCUCCCUUUUCGCUCCUCGGGUUAUAAGUCAGAGCACUUUUUUUUAGAGCUCGCUUGCUGAAGUCUACUUUCUCUAUCAUCAGGGGUUGUCGGAGUUGGGUCCACUGAAAAACGUACAGUGCUAAAUCACUGCAUAUGCUGCCUCGGAGGACAAAAUGCUGAAGACUGGACGUACAACAGUAUAUGGGCGCCCCCUAGCGUUUGGAUUAUUUCUGCCUGAAUUCGCUCUUUAAGGUGGAAGAGCCAUCUUAAAUGGAAACUACAUCGGUCGCUCGCCUCUCACAUACACCAGAGUAACAUGCGCCUAUUUUAAUCUGAUUAAUGCUUUUGAGAUUUCCUUCUAAUUGACUUGGACGUUGCAGAGGUGCGUUUGAAAGUCUCUACCACACAUUUUCUCCACAGUGUUGUUCACGCACGGGAGUAUUGCCGCGUUUCGGUUAAUUUUGGCCAGUUUAUUGAAACGAUCAAAAGUGAGCACCGUGCCUCAUCUCCGACCAUUCUAUGUGAACAAGACAGCCGAAAGCAAUAACCGCAGAAGUAAAUUAUAGCGUACCGAUGCAAAGUGGAUUUUACCCCAAGAUCAAGGUAGAGUACGACGUUCUGGCAGACUAGCUGUGCAUUGUCUCAGGCCUCUGCAGGACUGUGACGAGGGCAGAGGACACGGCCACUCUGGGAACCGAAGAAUGCAGAGUGGUGACAUCAACACCAAAUGCAUGAUGGGAGGAGGAACUUCACGCAAAGAUCCCACAAUGACAAAGCAGGGAAGGUAGGCCUUAAUGUAUGCUUUUGAGCUACUGGAGCAACUAACCUAUAUUCUUUUACAGGCAAAGGGGUCACUGGUCAGCUGACAACGAACUGCUUGAAAUCAACUAUGUAUGUAUUGUAAAUAACGCAACUGAACAAGAAGCAGUACUGUAUGAUGCAAUGAAAGAAAAUAUUUUCUUGAUGAUAUUAAUAGAAAUGUUUAAUUAUCAACUGUACAAUAUUUUCUGCCAAAAGCUCAAGCAAAUAAACAUGGGUCCCGUA